RNAcentral lists this small RNA (254 nucleotides) under Arabidopsis thaliana (thale cress). RNAcentral's name for it is "ATSL195420". The record is from RNAcentral. Lineage: Eukaryota; Viridiplantae; Streptophyta; Magnoliopsida; Brassicales; Brassicaceae.
AUAUUAAGAAAAUAAGAAUUAAGUUAAAACUAACGCAGCGGCGGCGAAACGAACAUAGAUACUUGCGGCAGCGGCAGCGUCGGCGGCAUCCAAACGAACAUAAAUGUUGCGUCAGCGGCAGUGGCGACGAAACGAAUAACAAUCUGCGGUAGAGUUUCCCGCUGCCGCUGCCGCCUGCGGUGAACAAACAAACAAACUAAAUAAUGUCUUGUUGGAUAUGCAAUUGAAGAAGAUAGGAAACAAAAUUCUUAACU